This is a non-coding RNA of Paramormyrops kingsleyae, 1635 nucleotides long. The record is from RefSeq and is a predicted model, not a curated record. Lineage: Eukaryota; Metazoa; Chordata; Actinopteri; Osteoglossiformes; Mormyridae.
UGUAGCCUACUUACUGAAUCUGUAAAAUGGCUGUUGAAGCUUCAUCUCUCGAGCAGGAGCUAUCUUGUUCCAUUUGCUUAGACUUCUUUAAGGAUCCUGUUGUCCUGCAGUGCAGCCACAGCUUCUGUAGAGACUGUCUGCAGAAUUUCUGGGAAGAGAAGAAAUCUCAGGAGUGUCCAGUAUGCAAGAGACAGUCCUCCAUGACAGAUCUUCCUCUAAAUCUGGUUUUGAAAAACAUUGUAGAUAACCAUCUAAAACACAAGAGUGCAUCUCGCUGCGGGCUCCAUGGAGAGAAACUUCUACUCUUUUGUGAGGACGAUCAGGAGCUCCUUUGUGUGGUCUGUCAGACUGCAAAGAAACACAGAAACCACCAGCUCUGUCCAGUGGAAGAAGCUGUACAGGAUAAGAAGGUGGAACUCAAAUCUUCACUGACUCCAUUAAAGGAAAAGCUAGAGAAGUUUACAAAAGUUAAACAAGAGGCUGAGAAAACAGCCAAACAUAUAAAGAAUCAGUCCCAGCACACUGAGAAGAGGAUAAAGGAGGAAUUUGAGAAACUCCAUCAAUUCCUGAGAGAGGAAGAGGAGGCCAGACUGGCUGUACUGAGAAAGGAAAAUGUGCAGAAGAGCCAGAGGAUGAAGGAGAAGAUAGAAAACAUCUCCAAACAGGUCUCCACCCUGUCAGAGAAGAUCAGAGAUAUUGAGAAGGCCAUGGAAGCUGAGGACAUCUCCUUCUUGAAGGCCUACAAGGACACCAAAGAAAUAGCCCAGUGCUCACUGCAGGACCCAGAGCUGGAUUCAGGGGCACUGAUUGAUGUGGCCAAACACCUGGGGUCUCUGAAGUUAAGAGUCUGGGAGAAGAUGCUGGGGAUUGUGCAGUACACUCCUGUGACUCUGGACCCAAACACUGCAGCCCCCUGGCUCUCUGUGUCUGAUGAUCUUACCAGCGUGAGAAACACUGGAGUGAAACAGCAGCUUCCUGACAGUCCAGAGAGAUUCUUCCCCUGUGUUUGUGUGCUGGGCUCUGAGGGGUUUAACUCAGGAAAACACAGCUGGGAGGUGGAGGUGGAGGACAAAACUGAGUGGGAUCUAGGAGUAGCAAAAGGAUCUGUUAACAGGAAGGGGGGGAUUAUAUGCAAACCGGAGGAUGGAAUCUGGGUUGUACUUCUGAGGAAUGGUGAUGAGUAUAAAGGAGGUACCUCACCUCGGACCUGGCUGAGACUGGAGCGGAAACCGCAGAGGAUCAGAGUGCAGCUGGACUAUGACAAGGGGGAGGUGUCCUUCUUCAACCCUGCUGACAAGUCACUCAUCUACACCUUUAAAGACACGUUCACUGGGACCCUGUUUCCAUUUUUCAGUCCAUGUUUAAUAGAAGGUGGUAUUAAUGCUGGAUCCCUGAAGAUCUGCCCAGUAAAGGUGUCUGUGACAACGAUGUUAUCCCAGUAAGGAUGCCUGUGUUUUACAGAUUAUACUGUCUGAAGUGGGAAAACUGGGAUGUCCUGGGACAAGUGCAUUACAAGUGGUUCAUCCCAAUUAGACACCAUGGCAUCCGCAGCGAGGAAGAAAAAGACAGGCAAAAUCGCCGGGAAAGCGACUGACCCACUCCAGGUGUUCGAUUUCGCCGUGGAGGAGGUGAAGA